AACGAACGCUGGCGGCAGGCUUAACACAUGCAAGUCGAACGCACCUUUCGGGGUGAGUGGCAGACGGGUGAGUAACGCGUGGGAAUCUACCCUUCUCUACGGGAUAGCUCCGGGAAACUGGAAUUAAUACCGUAUACGUCCUGAGGGAGAAAGAUUUAUCGGGGAAGGAUGAGCCCGCGUUGGAUUAGCUAGUUGGUGGGGUAAAGGCCUACCAAGGCGACGAUCCAUAGCUGGUCUAAGAGGAUGAUCAGCCACAUUGGCACUGAGACACGGCCCAAACUCCUACGGGAGGCAGCAGUGGGGAAUAUUGGACAAUGGGCGCAAGCCUGAUCCAGCCAUGCCGCGUGAGUGAUGAAGGCCCUAGGGUUGUAAAGCUCUUUCAGGGGGGACGAUAAUGACGGUACCCACAGAAGAAGCCCCGGCUAACUUCGUG
RNAcentral lists this ribosomal RNA (433 nucleotides) under uncultured bacterium. Its description in RNAcentral is "partial 16S ribosomal RNA". It matches the Rfam family "Bacterial small subunit ribosomal RNA", at positions 29 to 507 of the family's 1533-position model. The record is from RNAcentral.